This is a long non-coding RNA of Ornithodoros turicata, 344 nucleotides long. RefSeq lists it as uncharacterized. The record is from RefSeq and is a predicted model, not a curated record. The transcript is spliced from 3 exons. Lineage: Eukaryota; Metazoa; Arthropoda; Arachnida; Ixodida; Argasidae.
AGAACAAAGAAAGAAGAAGAAGAAGAAAAAAGGAGGAGAGGUCAGCCAAAUGGUUUCUGCGCAUACCGAUUGAAGCAAGGUGACAUUCUUCUGAACACAGGCGAGGGAUCAACUUCAACGAUGUCAACUGGAACAACGUUAACGGAACCUACCCCAAACUGCAAGCAACAGAAGGCACAAGGUCUUCACGGCGGUGGCACGAUAUGGUUCCCAGGGGAAGAGCCUAUGGUAUUUAUGGAGUGGCUUCGGCGUGCGCGUUUCAGGGGAGGUUUCUCGAUUCAGAAACGAAAGAAGACAGAUACCGUGGCAAUUCGUAUCAGAUAACGGUGGCGAUUGACACUUUG